Molecule: ribosomal RNA, 235 nt
Filed under: uncultured bacterium
Lineage: Bacteria
Description: partial 16S ribosomal RNA
Rfam family: Bacterial small subunit ribosomal RNA
Source: RNAcentral
UGGCGGACGGGUGAGUAAUGUCUGGGGAACUGCCUGAUGGAGGGGGAUAACUACUGGAAACGGUAGCUAAUACCGCAUAACGUCGCAAGACCAAAGAGGGGGACCUUAGGGCCUCUUGCCACCGGAUGUGCCCAGAUGGGAUUAGCUAGUAGGUGGGGUAACGGCUCACCUAGGCGACGAUCCCUAGCUGGUCUGAGAGGAUGACCAGCCACGCUGGAACUGAGACACGGUCCAG